CUGACUGUAGCUCAGUGGUAGUGUGUGUUCUUAGAAUACUAAAGGCCCUAGGUUGAAUUCCUAGCAAUUAGA
This 72-nucleotide transfer RNA is filed under the name Fukomys damarensis (Damara mole-rat). It matches the Rfam family "tRNA". Rfam says of the family: Transfer RNA (tRNA) molecules are approximately 80 nucleotides in length. Their secondary structure includes four short double-helical elements and three loops (D, anti-codon, and T loops). The record is from Rfam by way of RNAcentral. Lineage: Eukaryota; Metazoa; Chordata; Mammalia; Rodentia; Bathyergidae.